This 465-nucleotide ribosomal RNA is filed under the name uncultured bacterium. RNAcentral's name for it is "partial 16S ribosomal RNA". It matches the Rfam family "Bacterial small subunit ribosomal RNA", at positions 28 to 507 of the family's 1533-position model. The record is from RNAcentral.
GACGAACGCUGGCGGCGUGCUUAACACAUGCAAGUCGAACGGAAAGGCCCCUUUGGGGGUACUCGAGUGGCGAACGGGUGAGUAACACGUGAGUAACCUGCCCUUGACUUCGGGAUAACUUCAGGAAACUGGGGCUAAUACCGGAUAGGAAUCCUUGCUGCAUGGUGGGGGUUGGAAAGCUUCGGCGGCUUUGGAUGGACUCGCGGCCUAUCAGCUUGUUGGUGGGGUAGUGGCUUACCAAGGCUUUGACGGGUAGCCGGCCUGAGAGAGCGACCGGCCACAUUGGGACUGAGAUACGGCCCAGACUCCUACGGGAGGCAGCAGUGGGGAAUAUUGCACAAUGGGCGGAAGCCUGAUGCAGCAACGCCGCGUGCGGGAUGACGGCCUUCGGGUUGGAAACCGCUUUCAGCAGGGGCGAAGCUUGUGGUGACGGUACCUGCAGAAGAAGCACCGGCUAACUACGUG